This 397-nucleotide ribosomal RNA is filed under the name uncultured bacterium. Its description in RNAcentral is "partial 16S ribosomal RNA". It matches the Rfam family "Bacterial small subunit ribosomal RNA", at positions 523 to 918 of the family's 1533-position model. The record is from RNAcentral.
AUACGUAGGGGGCGAGCGUUGUCCGGAAUGAUUGGGCGUAAAGGGCGCGUAGGCGGCCCGGUAAGUCUGGAGUGAAAGUCCUGUUUUUAAGAUGGGAAUUGCUUUGGAUACUGUCGGGCUUGAGUGCAGGAGAGGUAAGUGGAACCCCCAGUGUAGCGGUGAAAUGCGUAGAGAUUGGGAGGAACACCAGUGGCGAAGGCGACUUACUGGACUGUAACUGACGCUGAGGCGCGAAAGUGUGGGGAGCAAACAGGAUUAGAUACCCUGGUAGUCCACACUGUAAACGAUGAAUGCUAGGUGUAGGGGGUAUCGACCCCUUCUGUGCCGCAGUCAACACAAUAAGCAUUCCGCCUGGGGAGUACGGCCGCAAGGUUGAAACUCAAAGGAAUUGACGGGG